RNAcentral lists this ribosomal RNA (383 nucleotides) under uncultured bacterium. RNAcentral describes it as "bacterial SSU rRNA". It matches the Rfam family "Bacterial small subunit ribosomal RNA", at positions 376 to 774 of the family's 1533-position model. The record is from RNAcentral.
CGAAAGCCUGACGGAGCAAUACCGCGUGAGGGAUGAAAGCCUGUGGGUUGUAAACCUCUUUUCUCAAGGAAGAAAUUCUGACGGUACUUGAGGAAUAAGCAUCGGCUAACUCUGUGCCAGCAGCCGCGGUAAUACAGAGGAUGCAAGCGUUAUCCGGAAUCACUGGGCAUAAAGCGUCUGUAGGUUGCUUAGCAAGUCUGUUGUUAAAGAUCAGGGCCUAACCCUGGGAAAGCAAUGGAAACUACUAGGCUUGAGUAUGGUAGAGGUAGAGGGAAUUCCUGGUGUAGCGGUGAAAUGCGUAGAUAUCGGGAAGAACACCAGUGGCGAAAGCGCUCUGCUGGGCCAUAACUGACGCUCAUGGACGAAAGCCAGGGGAGCGAAAG